RNAcentral lists this ribosomal RNA (253 nucleotides) under uncultured bacterium. Its description in RNAcentral is "partial 16S ribosomal RNA". It matches the Rfam family "Bacterial small subunit ribosomal RNA", at positions 524 to 776 of the family's 1533-position model. The record is from RNAcentral.
UACGUAUGGUGCAAGCGUUAUCCGGAUUUACUGGGUGUAAAGGGAGCGCAGGCGGCGCGCCAAGUCUGAUGUGAAACCCCGGGGCUCAACCCCGGGCAUGCAUUGGAAACUGGCGGGCUGGAGUGCCGGAGAGGUAAGCGGAAUUCCUAGUGUAGCGGUGAAAUGCGUAGAUAUUAGGAGGAACACCAGUGGCGAAGGCGGCUUACUGGACGGCAACUGACGCUGAGGCUCGAAAGCGUGGGGAGCAAACAGG